AGAGUCUUCGUGUGCAGUGAACAUUGUUUACCACCAUAGGGACCAAAACGGUUGGGCUGGUCAUCAUUCGUCCUUAGGUAUGGAGUCUCUGUUGUUUUAAAAUGUUUUUGGGGAAAAAAUCAGUGAGAAUACUUGGAUAUGUUUAAAAGGCAAGGACUGAAGUGAUAAUUGAUCAGGAGUGUCCUUGCUCUGACUACAGUAAUGAAGUUUUGUACUUUUUACACCCGCUGAUGUCUCACUUUAUUCUCUUCAACAUGUCAUGCAACAGAAGAGAAGAGUGCCCAGCCUGCACAAAUUUACAAGAAGCUAGAAACAAAACCGAUUAAAGCAACAGCAUGUGAAGAAGAAGGAAGACCAAUUAAUGCUAGAUAUGUCAAACAAUAACAAAAUAUUAUUAAAAUGUGGCGCCUCAGCCGUUGGCACUUCAUCAGCACUUCUCGUGCAAUGACUUUUACUCUUCUAGAUCAAUCAUCACGAGUCAUUGAAUGCUGCUAAAGGCAUUUAACACAAACAGAGGAAGCUAAAACACUUUGUGUGCAAACAGUCAAAUGUUAUCAUAAAUGAAAGACACAUUUGGACUUUGUUUUUACAAUUUCAAUAUAUGCUGACUCACUGUAUUUCUCUGAACAAAGAAAACAAAGACUUUCAACUUUCUAGAUUUAUUUCUCUCCCCUUCUAUUUUAUUUUAAAUGACUCAUAAGUUUCUCUUAAGUAUCAUCCAAAUAAAGCAUUUUCUCUCGUUAUUUGAACAGCUCUAAAUCAAGAAAGUAAUAUAAUUGUAUGUCACUGAAAUGGAUGACUGUGCCAACAAAGCCAUCAAAUCCAGAGGUGAUGUGUCAACAGGGGGCACCAUACCACUAUCAUGCAGUGGAUUUUUAACAGACCCUCUUGAAUUAGCAUGUGGCUGCAUGACUGAGUGUGAGCCCCUCCUAAAUAAACCAAUUUUCAGUCAUGUUUAAUAGAAUGAUUGAGGUUGACAGAGGUGACAGAUUUGGGAUCAUUAUGGCUCCGACUCGUGACUGAUGACUGCUGAGAUGUCAGAAGAGGCCGAUACUUAAUGUGACUUCAUUUUGCUCCCAGCUUGACCUUUACAACUUCCUCUCAAUACUCAUAAUGAUUCAUGGUCCUGAAGCAUGCUGAUGAGAGCUGAGCCCUGAGUGAUGCUGGAGUGAUUGAUGAAUGAGAACCACAGCAGGAUGCUUGUCUGUGUCAUGUCAUAUUUUGAGCCUGCAAAGGACUUGAUGGUGCAGCGUUUUAGACUGAAGAGCACUUUAAUUGUUUGAAGUGAACUCUGGAAGCUGAAACAUGCUGCAACAGAAAAUCUCAAAUGUGCAAGGGGAAAACCUCUCUGCAGAAUGUUAAAUUAAUGAUUGGCUACGAGUCAAUAAAAGGAAAAAUGCAAUUUGGAGAUAUUUGAUAUCUAGCUGCCUCAACUGAACUACUCCAGGCCUGUAGAUGGCGCUAUAGGAGGUGUAUUUACCUUACAGCAUUUUUGUUUGUUUUUGCGUGAAAAAGAGAUAAGUGUUUUCUUUCCCACUGAAUUAAUUCUAUUGAUGUUUGACAAAAAUUGUGUGUGCCACCAAACAUCUUUUUAACAACCCAUCUACUCUCUUCCAGCAGCUGCUCAGCGAGACCAUCCAGACCUCAGGCCAGUCUAUGGACUACAGUGGGGUGACGCAGCAUAAGGAAGAACAUCUAUGAUCAUUACUUUAUCAUUUCCCUGAAGUAAUAAUCACCAUAUUAAUCAUUUUGCAACGCAGACGCGGUAGUUCUUCUACCUUAGUGUCUCGGUCUGAUUGCAUUUCCAUGAAGUAAUGAUCAUAAAUGUUCUUCCUUGAGCUGCAUCACCCCGCAGUAGUGCGUAACGGAUUAGCCUGAGGUCUCGAACAAACAAGCGACUGCUGGCAGAGAGUAGGUGAGUUGUGUUUAGUCUCUUUGCUAAAGAAAUUAGGCAAAGCUAAAAAGAUGUUUGGUGGCUAGUGCUAUGCCUGGGAUGUGUACAGUUGAUGAAGUUAGAUGCUGUUCUGAGCAUUAUUUGUGGCUAUAGAGUGGUGUUUUGGUCGAGGUUUGUUUAUGGCUCUUCAGACUGCUGUGGUCGGCAACAUUCAUCUCUCGAGGGGGUGUCUAACUCGGUGUUAUGGUGUGUUUGACCCUAAAUUGAUUUUACACCAGAAUAUCCCUUUAAUGUACAAAAGCUGCAUGUCUGAUUUGUUUUACUGGUUUCUUUGUUUAAAUGUGUGAGUGUGUGUGGUGUGUGAUUGUUUUGUACACAGUAAUGUCCUGUAUAAGGACAAAAACACAUCUUUGCUUCUUCUGGGCGCCCCCUCUCCUCUCCUUUCCUCACCCUCCCUUCCUCCCCCUCCUCGACUCCCUCCCUCUCCCACCUGGCAUAGCUGUCAGCAGUAUGGCUCUGUGCCUUGGCAUCGAACACACCAUCUCUCUGGCACGUCAUCUGGUAGCAAGAAUGAGGUGUGGGACGAAGCCAACUGGGGCUACUCUGAUCAUUGUGGUCGUCCACUCUACGGAAACCCGGAGGGGGGAUUUUCCACCUGUUCAAUGGGAACCUGAAGUGCACCUCCAGGGGCCACCAUAUGCCAUCCAGAUUCAAGCGCUCCACCCAAAGGUCUGUUAAAGGUGAGUCUUUAUUAGUAGCAUAAAUGAAGUUAUAAUAAAACAUCACAAGAACAGCUAAAUAAUCGUGGUAUACCUACAGAUAAACCAACUUAUUCACCAAACGUGUGAUUGAUAGUCAUUUUUCAUACAGACUCACUAUGCUGGAUUCCCUCCCAUCUGACAGCGUCAAUGUCAAAGCAAGAAAAUAUUAAUACCAGUAUUAUUAACAGUGGUUCUGUUGAGUUCAAGAGUCCCAGGAAGCUUUGACAGAGUGACAGCGUGCUACGAUGCACAAAAGAAGGAGCCUGAAAUUGAAGGCACUGCUUCCUACUGUGACAUGUCAAAAUGUCUUCUGUGAAGAAAUCUCAAGGUGUAAAUAUGCUUCAUAAAGCUGCAGGCAAAAACUUUCCUUACUUUCAAACUGCAGCGAAGGUUCAGAGCCACACAAUUUCAUAUAGUGAGAUCUGUCUGAAUGUGUGAUGUUAGUGCUACCAGAUUUAUGGAAGACAAGCCUCAAUCAUCUCCUAUUUAAGAAUAAAUGAGGCCAGACUCGGUAGAGACUGAUAGAGCUAGUAACGUGUAUUGGAGCCAAGACAUAGGCAGAUUGAUAUGGUGCUAGACUCCCUAAAGUGCACAUUUUAUUUAACAGCAAAGAUCUCUCAGGUACCGUCCAAAGCAUGAUAGGUUCUGGUGCCAGCUUGAAAAAUGUUCGUGUUUUGUUCUUUCUCUCUCAGAGAGCCAGGAAUUUACAUCACAUUCCCUCUCUAUAGCAUAAAAUAAAUGUUUUUCAAGCUCCUUUAUAAUAGAAAUGUCAUCUAACAGAAGAAGGUGAAUUUAAUUGACCAGUAUUUUAGUUUCCAAGCUUGACCCAUGUUUCAUUAUGUUACAGUGAAGGAGGCCAGCACCAUGGUUUUACUGCAGCCGGUCAGAAGGGGGAGCUCUAAAAGGUUGGCUUUACCUUUGGGAAGCUGCCAUGAUGUCCAUCACUCAUCAAGUCUAAGGUAUGUUAUGAUCUGUCUUCUGCUUACCUGGAAAGAGCACUUACUUUUAGUGCAGUUUGACAGCGAUGGUAUUAGUGACUGGACAGUAUCAAUGUCGCUUAUCCCAUCAACACCGACUGUCACCAGAUUCUACAGCAAAAAUGAUAAAUCAUAUUUGAUGUGACCACACCUGUAGACAGAAACUUGAUAUCAUUCAAAGAAAUCAAACUUUUUUUUGACACAAUUUGAAGAAAGACAAAGAGCAGAUUUGCUUUUUCAAUAUAAAAUCCCUUACACAAUUUUUAUUCAGGGCAUUUUACUGUAAGAAAUAACUUGAACAUUUGUCAAAUUUAUCAUGAUAUAACAUACAGAAAACCAAGUUUUUUGCUGGAUCCGUGUGAAAUAGCACAUCUACUACCUGUUUGUCAAUCAGUGUUGUGUCUAUGGGCUCUAGUUUAGCUCAGCAGGGGUCCUAUAAACAGAGGCAACACUCUUUGGCUCAUCCAUCUCUCUUACAUGUUAAACUCUUAAGUCUAACUGAAAUCGCACUAAAUCAGGCUCCUCAUAAUCAGACUAACAUACCUAGAUAACUCUGGUUGGCGUUUCUCUUCCAUGCAUACAGAUAAAUCAGACUGAAACUGGUCUAAGCAUUCUGCACACGCUCCAGUGGUUUCACGCCAGGCUUUGAGCUGGAAGUUGAACAGCAUGGAUGCAUUACUUGGAAGCUGAGCAAAGAAAAAAACCUUGACAGAUGAAGAAAAAAAACACAAAAAUUUGUUAUCAGGAUGGAUUCUCCAAGCUGGCAUGAUGUGGUUUAUGGCAACCCCUCUCCUUUCUCCCCACAUUUCUUGUCUCCCUCAAGCUAUUCCAUAAGAAAGGCAAAAAUGCCCCAAAAUAGUGAUAAAAAAUAUACAGUUUUAUACUUGAAUAAAUCCAGGCAGUUACUGGUUCAUUCAUUAGUUGUGGACCACUAUUCUGAAGUCGUGAGUAAGACCUCUCAGCUGCAGCUGUCUGGUUUUCUGGGGGGUCAUAAGUGACCAUAUUUAGAUGAGAGGGGUUGGACACCAAGGUCAACUGAAGCACUUUAAAUUAAUGGAGGUGACUCCUGGCAGAAGACUAGCGUCACCCACCUGUCUCUGAAAGCAGCCAUGUGUUUAUUAUGCAUCCCUUUGAACCACGGUAUAAUUCCAAUGAGUGAGUUAAAUUAACAACCAGUCAUUUGGUAUGAGCGGGUAACUGAGCUACUGAGACAAACACAUUCUGGUACAAGGCUGUAAAAAUGUUUCACUGUGCUCUGUGUUGGACUUUUAAAAACAGAUCUGUGGGGAUUGACUGCUCUCUGAGCCAGCUUCAUUUGGCAGCACCAGGAUCUGCAGUUUUCACCACUUCUGUGUUGGCUUUAUUUUUCAGCCCUGGAGGCUGCUGCUUGGAUACACAUGGUUAUGGUUUUUACUGUUUCCUCUGGCACGUUAAGUAUUGUCUAGUUUUGUAACCUGUGCAGCGGCAGUUUUGGCACAGAUUUUUCUGGGUCUUUGUUAGUUAAACUUUGUUGCUGUAAAAGCUCAUAUUUCCAAAUCUCAAAUGACUGACCUCAUUCAGAAAAGUUACACAGUAUCAGGAGAAGAAUGAGGUGAAGUAUUAUGUUUAUAAGGGAGCCUCCCUGCAGGGAAUUCAGACCCCAUAAUUCUUCCCUGGAAACUGCGAGUACAAUCUUAUUUUUGGAUCUGCAAAUCUUUUUUUCCAUUUAACCCUCAACCUUGAAACAUUCAUCUGUCAUUAAAUUUUACACUCUGUUGUGUAACUCAGGCAACAAUUUCCUCUAUUGUUAUACCGUUCUAUCUUAUCUAAUCUCACCUCAUCUUACCUUAUCUUAUCUUAUCUUUAAAACAAUGUAAGGAGUUUUGAGAUCAUCUCAAACUGAUCCUACCCUUUUGCUGGACAGUUUUGUCAUGCUAGUGUAUAUCUCGACCAAAAGCCAUUUUCUGGACUUGUCGGGUGACUGUGGCUUAAAUUAAGCUUAAUAAAGUGUUUUCUGUUAGAAAUAAGACAAAACACUUGCAAGGAUUUGAGUUUUUGUUUUGUUGUUGUUGUUGUUGUUUUGAAUAAAGAAACUACAAUCAGUCUUUUCUCAGUAGAAGAGCCAAAAAGAUCAAAAGGAUCUAAUAAUUAUGCUUAUGAAUGCAUCACUUGGUUUUGUGUUUGUUUGAGUUGUUGAGACAUUUUAUUGAGAAACCGGAGUACACACGGUGACAGGUGACAUCAAAUUAGUAUAUCAAGUCAUUAUUUCAGGUUGUUAGAAUGACAAAAAUCUGUCAAAAAUGCAAAAUCAAGUUCUCACUUUUCCUCACGUUGAUCCAGUCUAAAUUUCAACCAUAUGGUGAGGGUUAUCAGAUUCAACACUAACAUACAUUUUGAGCAGAGUUUUAGAAAAAAAAGAUAUCACUCCAGGAUUAUGUAUAAUCUGUUUUGUCUUGGAGCAUUUCCCCUCCAUCUAGUGUUUAUGUCUAUAACCAAAAGUCCCUGCAAUAAUGAAGAAUUUCGACUCCCUAAAUCUGCAAAACUGCUCCUCUGCUCUUCAUAAGAGCCGCCUCAAGCUGGGGGAGUGAGUUUUUUAGUCAAAGGAGGGAUCUUUGUUCUGUGCACAGAAGGAAUAGUAAUGUUCCUAAAAGACUUCAAUACAUCAGAGAAAAUGCGUUUUCCAUCAAGUGACUCUGGCAUCCAGCUUAAAAAGCCAAAUACUCUAUCUUGGGGUUAUGAACAGCUUAAUUGGCAGCAUCACUGCAAGUGUCUCACAAGAUGUCAGCAGUGAAAGAGAGGCUACCGGAGCAAACUCCAGGCAUGGUGACAGUGCAGGGAGAAAGUUUCCAUGAGGCACUCUGGGAGCUCAGAGAGCAGUUGGCUUGAUUUCCUGUCAUCACAGGCACAUAAUUACCUCCGACUCGUGUCAAGUGGCAAAAGAACAAAGAGGAGCUCAGCAGUGAAGGAAAAAUUUAGAUCUGUUUCUGAAGUGAAAACUGAAGAACCACAUUAAAAUCGUUUCCAGUGGAAAGAUUAAGCUUUUACAGGGAGCAAUUAAACGAGAUGUUGUUGAAAAAUAAUCCCACCAUCACCAAACCUAUUUAGUGGGUGAUCAUUUUCUUUGAUCUGUGUUCAGACUAAAACUAAUCAUUUCAAAUGUAAUGACAACUUUGAAAGAAAAAGUGAUUCAGGCUCAGACUAACUACAAACUGUGCCUUUGUGCUGCUGCUCAAAACUUCCCCAGUGUACUCUGAAUUCAGUGCUAGAUUAUAACUGGCUCAUCCAUUCAUCGUUCCCUUCAUCCAUCCAUCCCAUCAGGCAUCUGUCUAUCCGUUUAACAUCCAUUCAUUCAUAAAGUAUGCAUCUGUCCAUGGAUCCAUCUGAUAUUGAUGCAUCCACCUUUCUAUCAGCAUGCAUCCAACCAUUCAUGUAUCCAUCCAUUGCUGAGUUUAUCCAUCAAUCCAUGAAUUUCAUCUAUGCAUCCAUCCAUGCAUUCAUUCAUGCAUCCAUCCAUCCAUGGGUUUAUCUCAACAACCAACCAAACCUUGCUUACCUUCAUCCAUGCAUCCAUCAGUCUGUGUAUUUAUCCAAGCAUCUAUCCAUCCAUCCAUCCACCCAUCUAACCAGUCAUAUAGUAUAGAAAUGCAUUCAUCUGCACAUCUCUUUAUCUGUGUAUCCAUUCAUGCAUUCAUCCAUUCAUCCAACCCUCCAUCCAUUUUAGGAUGAAGGUUAGGCUUGAAGCAAUAGCCAAAUAUUGUCCCUCACUUUGCAGCUGCUUGUAUGAGAUAGCUUAUGCUAACCAGGGGUUAUAGGCCCAGUGCAGCAGUUGCUUACUUUUGGAUUAAACAUAAUCUUUUCCAGACAGCUUUCCUUUUAAUCACCUUACUUAUCUUUGUGUCCCCUUAUUUCUAGCUUCUCUUUGUCUGGCACCAGAUCAGCUUGGCGUAAGCUUUAAAUCAUCAAUAUCAACUCCCCAAAAGUGAGUUUCAGAGUGAGCUUCAACGUUUACAAUACAUCACUGAGUCAUACAUCAUAGACCUGAUUAGAUUUUGCUGCAUGCUGAAGAGCACAUCUGUGUUACAUGUGCGCAUAGUGCAAAAACAAAUGGACUUGCUAAUGGUAGAAUUAAGCGCUGAAAAACAGUCUCAGUGGAAUGUGCAUCCUAAGUGAGAUGAGUGCUUGGGUCAGAGUCCUUUUUAAAAUGAACUACAUCAGGUGCUGGACCCUGCUUUGUCUGCAGGAAACUGUAGCCUAGCUUGUGUUCCAGUUCUGUAUUUAUGCAAAUAUUACACUUUAAAGUCUGUGAUAUUUCCAUUUAGUUUGCCCAGUAUUCUCAUUGCUUAUGGAUCUGAGCCUAAUGCACCUCAUUUGGUGAACAGUAUUAUGCUGUCCGCCCUGAGCAGGUUAACAGUCCAUCACAUGGGUUUACUGAUAUCAACAGACAACUGGCAAAGCUGUGAGUCCAGUACAGCUCCACUACAAACCUUUAUUUCUUGCUCAGUCCUCGUUGCUUACUCAGGAGUUGCUGUGUGUGUAGUUUCAUCUUAACUGAGUGGGGCUACGUUAUGUUUAAUAAUUGAAUUUGAGUGUAAACAGAGUACAUUCACAGGUCUUUAAACGCACUGUGGUCCAGGGAUUCAUUCAUCCUGAAUUAACUAGACUGAUAUGAUCUCAUUUAACAUUCCUGUAUCGUCCAAUCGUAUCAGUGACUUAAUAUUCUCUUAACACAACUUCAAGUGUGAAUAUAUUUCUGCUAUAUUUCACCUUCAAAGCCAGCAACCACUCAUCUCCUGGGAGCGUUUGUCACACCACGCUGCACACACGCCUCGAUUUAUACAGCAGCUGGUGCAGUAAAUGUGCUGUAAUUGCACAGUCACACAUGGAUUCGGGUGUGUUCAUACUAUCACACCAAAUCUAUUCAUCUGCGGUCCAUGUGAUAAUGAUGCCUGCCUGAGCGCCAAGCCAGCCCCUCCUAAUUCCCUCUCAGCCCGUCUGCAUGUUAUUUAAGGGUAUUGUUAUCAUGCCCGCUCACUGACUGCAUAUAAGUAUUUGUCCCAUUGUGCUUUGCCUGAUGACUGGCGGAAAUUCUUUGUGUUACAAUCUGAUUGGGCAUCAGGAGUGAUCUCUGCUGUAAUGACCCGUGCUGGGAGGUGUUACAGGAGCAGAUUUGGAGGCGCUAUCCUGUUAACAAGGAGCCUGCUGAGACAAGCUGCGAGCAACACUGCUCCAAGAUGUGUGAUUUCAUGCAAGGCCUCCCAGCGCUAGACAGUUGGUGAUCUGUAUAUCACUUCCUUUUUUUAUUAUUGUUAUUGAAUCAGACACUGAAGAAAAACUGGAGAGCUAGAACCGAGAAACACACCAAAAAUAACCCUUUUUUUAGUUUCUUUCUCUGUGGCUUGAUACCUUUAAAUGAACUGGCCUACUUUUUAUUUUUUUACACCUCUGAAUGCCUCGCGUUUGUUGAAAAAAAAAGUCUGAAAGUGAGGAUGGCUGUUUGGUUUCAGUUAUUCAUGCUGUAUUGACAGACUUUAACACACUGACCCGUGCAUUAGCCUCAUUGAUUUCUCUGACCCCUCUCCCUCAUAUCCAUUUAAUAUGAGCUACAAUACAGUAGGAUUAACCGUUCUGUUAUUUAGCCUUAUGAACCCCGCAUUCAAGCACCCUAAUUUGCUCACAGGCUCAUGGCUUUGGAAAAUGAUUGUGUUUUGUGUGUGAAUGAAUUCUAACAAAUCCUUGUUAAUCAUUGAUAAUUACUGACUGAAAACAAGUGUAUCUCUCACCAGAUAGGUUCAAAUUGUCCUGUAGCUCAUGGAUUUAACUGUUAAAUCAUUAAAGCAACCAUGUCAGAGUUCAGAUGGGCAUAAUUGAUGAUUGUACUGUCUGUCCCUGCUUUUUACAUUCAGAAAAAGACAGACUAACACCAGAUAAUUUGUAACCCAAACCAGAGAGUCAUGGUCCCCAAGUGAGGGAUCCCAAUUUAUGACCGUAAACUCCAGAAUAUCAAUCUAGCUUGAGUCAAAGCGAUGGGAUUAAGCUUGCAAGCAGCCACAGUGUGCCCCCCACUCCCCACUCUAGCAAGGUUUGUUUCUUAUACAGUAGAGAUGUUUUACAGAAUGGGUGUGUAUGUGGCUUCUGGUACUUUUGCAGCCAGCCUCAAGUGGUCACGUGAGGAACUGCAGUUUUUAGCACUUAGAAAAAAGUCACCACCAAGGUCUCAAGUGUGAAACUUGUGUCUUAUAAACCAGAUUUAAUGGGAAGUGAUUUCUCCCCUUUUCCUCUUGUGGCUGAGGUUGUUUAGUGAAACAUCUCUACAACUAUUGAAUAAAUUUAAGAAAAUCAGAUUAUCAUUUAGGUAUCCAUAUUUCAUUCAGCAAAAUGACUCUGGUUAGUUUUUCAUUGCUGCACCAUGAUCAGUUGAUCAAUGUUAGUUUAGCAUAAUUGUCCUACUGAGAAAUGUAGCUCAGAGCAGUGCUGUGGUUAAAUACAGCUUUAUAAAUCUGCUACCAUGGAAGUGGAUUCUUAAUCAUGUUGAAAGAUGACCAAACUGAACAUUAAUACAACUGUUCUACUUAUACUUAACUGUACCCUUUGAAACAACACUACAUGAUUCAUUUUUAACUGAAGCAAAGACCGAUGUCCGUUUUUCCAAAUGCUCAGCUGCAGAUUUUUUCAUUUCUGAUUUGACUGACGUUAUGAGUUAAUGGAAAUGAAGUUCCCAGUGUAGCAAUGUUUGAAAAUUUGAAUGCAAUUUGCAAAUUCAAAAUGUGAAUUACACCCAUCAUGUACACCUGGAUACUGUUCACAGUUCAGACACAGGUAAUAAAUUUACAGUCCAUGCAAAUGACUGUGCUCUUGCUCCAUGACUGAUACCCAUACAGGAAAAAAAAGUGAGCGUUAUUUCCUCUGAAGAACAAAGCAAGAACUAUCCAUCACUGCAGAAAACAACCCGGUUACCUCUCUGCUCCGUAGGCUGCAUGCAGAGUAAUUCUCACGGGGAUGUAUUCCAGACAUAAUGAGAAAGAAACAUCGGGGUAAACAAAUCGACUUUUUUUUUAGCAGGCGAGCCUAAUUACAGGGCAGGAAUAAAUAACUAUUGGAGAGGAGACAGGCUCACUAGUGUAAUGCAUCGUAAUGGACCAUGGGAAGUUAAUGCGUCAUUUUUCUCCCGAGCCUGACGUGUUGUUGUGGUGUACUCGGUUCAGUCUGAAUUCUCUGAUCCUACAGAUGUUUAGCUGCCAUGCCAAACUGCUCUGACUGGGGUUUAUUGUUUUGCAGCCACUUCUGCAAUAAAUCCGUUUUUAACAUCUUUAGAGAAGCAUCUGUUUACCCCUUGUGUGCCAGAGGUGUAACACGACAGCCAUUUCAGCAACAUGUUCCAUCACAGUGAACUGAAAUAUGCAUGUUAACCCACUGUGAGGGGGGAUUUUAACUGGCUAUGCAACAGCCCCAAUUCAAUAUUGAUGUCUCUAUAUGACCUAAAAAGAGUAAACCAGACCAUCAGUUAAAAUAUUGACAAUUUCUAUAUAGUUAUGAAUUCUUGUCACAGUUGAAACUGGGUCAGACGCCAUAAAGUGAUUUACAGCUGGCAGACUAAAAGAGCCGUUGUUUGCAUUUUCAUGGCAAAGUCACACUGUCGUAUUUUAGCCUCUUUAAUGGAGGAAAAUGAUCAUUUCAAGGCACAAAAAGAUGGGAAAUAACAUUAUACUGUAUAUGUCUGCAGGUGCUGCCAAAAUUAUAAUGUAAAAGAUACUUCCAGCUGCUUUUACAUCCCUGUGAAAGAGAGGAGAAACUGAAGGUAGAUGAGCUUGAGAUCUUUUUUGUGUUUUUAAAGCUCCUUGGAGAUGUCUGUAGUUGAGCACUGAUGCUUUUUCAAGGCCUUCUACAGCAAACAAGACCAUCAUAAAGAAAACUGACCAUUUCUCUGCUGCAGUCUUUAAUGCAUAAAUCUGCUGCUGCUGCUGCAGGGUAGGAAGUAUAGAUUUCUACUAUGCUCCAGAAACAGACUACAGUAUUUCAUAGAACAGUCUAACAUGAUACAUUUACAGUUAAAAGAAAGGAGGGUGAGAUUUUUUGUCAGAGACUCUGCAUACAAAUGAACAAGACAGAAUCAGGAAAGAGAUCAGGUAGUGUCUUUUUCCACAGGGGGCGCCAAAAUCAACCCAACCCAAAAGUUUCUUACAGGAGCUUUAAACAGACAAAAUCUCAAACAUGUCUGACUGAAGUGAAGGACCAUCUCAGAUUAAACAGACAUUUCCUCUUCAAAUAGAAAUCAUAUCAAAGUAUCUGACUAUAUUCCCUCCAAUCUAACCUUGGCUGAGCAAAACCUCUGGAUAAGCCACCUGGCCUCUGGUGUUAUAUUUAUAAGAACCAGACCUGCUGAAAAUGUUUCACGACUUUUUUUGAGCACUGAUGAAAAGCCAGCAGAGCGUGUCAUAAAAAGAUGGGUGCAGAGUAUAUCUUAGGGGCAUCGUACAUCUUAAUCAGCUUUCAGAUCCAGUGAGGACUCUUUAUAAAGUUUUCUCACCAAACUUCAAACCACCUCUUCAACCUGUGUCUUCACUAUGAUUCCCAGAAUGCAUUUCUGUAUUGCACACACAGGAUAGAGGAAUGCAACAGUGCUUGAUACCUCACUUAGGUGUGUCAAAUGCGCAUUACAUUUAGAUAUUUUUGAACUCUGUGUGACUGUUGAUUAAGGUUGGACAUUCUCAGGUUUUUUCUGUGUUAACACGGAUUUAAAGUUAUGUUUUUGGUCUUUUACUGUAUUUAUUUAGAGAGGACAGAGCAUGACAUUGGGAGUGACAUGGGACAAAAGGGUCCUGAGCUGCUUUCUUCAGGCAAAACCUCUACACAAGCAGCACCCUCUGUUUUAACUAACGUGAAAUAAAAACAGAACAAAACAAUGAAAGAGAUCUUCUCUUUUCAUAUAUUCCCUAUUCUCAAUAAGAUAUUCCUGUUCAUACUUGGGUUAACCAAGCUUUAGACUAUCUGUUACUGUUUUUAUUCCUAAUUUUCCAUCAUUCUAAAUACUGCAAGCAGAAAAACAUCUUAUUUAUACACACUAAAGUUGAGAAAUGAGGAAUUUAUCCUGACAGCGGGUAGGUUGUCAAUGUUUGGUAAAGUGAUGAUAUUGCUGGCACUGGCAGCAAUUUAAAGACGCUUUGAAAAACAGCCUCAGAGUUUUUCAUUAAACACUGUUUGAACCACUGACUGUCUAUAGAGUGAGCGAUGCACCUUUAUUUGCAGCAACAGUGAGUUUUGAAGCCAAAAUAAUAUGAACAAUAACAUAUCGCACUGGUAGAGCCAAUAUCGCUGGUGUAGCUGCAGGACUGAUGUCACACCCUUACAGUUACAAUCAUGGCUGUGGAAAGCUCUGUGACUUUUGUGUUAGUGUUUGUGAUGUUUCCUCUCACUGUUCCUCUUUAAGAGGAACUAUUGUAGGAGCCAGAAUUUGUCAGCAGAGCUGCUAAUCUGUAUCCACUUUAACAUAAAAAAAACUCAACAGAACCAAAUAUAUGAGAAUAAUGAACACUUGCAUAAAAAGUAGCAUAAUGAAAACGUAGUUUGUUUGACAGAAAGCACAUUUGAAAAGGAUUUAUUUAAUGUGCAUUUUCAUUAUUGAGUUUGGGCCAUAUUUAAUCACUUAUAAUGGAAGUGUUAUAUUGCAGCCAGUCAGCAGGGGGAGCUCCAACAGUUUUGCUCCACACUCUGACUCUGCACAUGUCGUUCACAGUCUGUAAUUUCAACUUCAAAUAUAAACAGAAAGUCAUAGUCUGCACACCAGGAGCUGCCUCAAUGUGAAUUUAAUGAAAAGCAUCACCACAUGUGAUGAUCAUCAGACAUGUCUGAUGAGGGGAAACGACCCAAAACAAGUUUCUGUCCUGAACUGAGCUAUUGAAGUUUCAGAUGUGCAUGCUACUUCUUUAUUGCUUUUUUUUUUUAAAUUAAAAUACGGCUUCCCUCAGGUUUUCAUUAUUUACUCUUCUCAGUUGUUCAUCAUUUGAGAAGCAAUUUCCAACGUUUCUGCAUUUAACAAACUUGAAACUCAGGGAUGUGGCACCAUCUGAGCCUUCCACUCUUGGAAUGAUGACAGAAUAAUAAAAAUAAUAACUUUAUUUUUAUAGAGCCUUUAAAAACAGACGUUUACAGAGUGUUUAGACAGACAAAGCAAAGGCAGGCACUCAGGAAGAUAACAGAGUAAAUAUUUAAUAGUCAGGGCAAACAGAAAGAAGUUAAAGAUGACAAAAGGUAAGAGAAAAAUGCGACACGAAAGGUAAAUGAGUAUAAACACAAAUAAAAAGAUUAAAUGUGAUAGAACAGAAAGCUCUGGAAAGGCAGUUAAAGCAAUGGAGCGAUACAAAUAAAGAGAUCAAUAAGAGAAGAGAGGCAAUGAGCCACAGAACGAUCAUAAGAGGACAACAUCACAUCAGCAGAAAUCAAAACAGAAAAAAAGAUCUGAAGCAUUGAGAAAAAAAGAGGAUAAACAAAAGAAAUAAAAAUGUAAGAAAUAAAAGGCAGUGAGAUUAUGAAAUCCUUAAAAGACAGAGGAACAGAUGAAGAGAUUAAGAGCAGCAAAACGGAUGAAUGAAAAGAGAAAUUAUGAAUGCAUUUAAAAAGGUGAACUCUCAUAAAAGCAGGUCUGCAAAAGUGAGUUUUAAGAUGGCUGAUUUUGCAUGUUUUAUCUCUUAUCUCAGGCACAUAAAGCCCACAGCCAAGGGACCCUGACAGCAUUAUCAGAGCUCCCUUUAGAUUUAAGGUUCUGACUUUGGGACAGCCAUAUCAGCGUCGUAUAAAGAUGUGAUGUUUUGAGACAGCUGACAGAGGACGAUGACUGUUGUGAGAAAGAAGUGAGUUUGCAGUUCUCCCCACAUCUUGUAUUUGUUAAACCAGGUUUUAUAACUGCAGAAAACCCAUCAGCAAACAAUAAGAUUCAAGGACCAACCCUGACGUUCUCACUGGGUCAUUUGUUUGCACUUUCACCGGUCAUAUGAUUCACAAAUACAGGAAAAACACAAAGGCAUGUUUAGACAGUGACUGUUGUCCCCUCUCUGUCUCCCCCCCUCACUUCGGUCAGAGCAUGGAUGCUCUUCUUGACAGAUGAGGUGGAGAAGGGGGAAAAAAAACCCAAACUGAAUAUUCCUCUCUCUGUAAUCGUUUCAAUCUGCUCUGCCAGAACAGAUUGUGGUCUUUUGCUUCCCUGUUGGAGGCCUGUGUACAUCUCCUCCCUCUCGUUCUUAUUCUCCCUCUCCCUCUCCAUUUUUUCCCAUUAUUGCAAUAUGGCACUCUCCAUUUCAUUGUCAGUCUGGGCACAAGGCUGUAGUGUGGACUCCAUAUAUUAUGCCCAAAGCCUACUGACCACCUCCCUGGUGGAGGUGUAUGAUCAUCCAUCAUGGAUAAAACAUUACAGUGCCCCCAUUUGUCUACAAGUGGGCAGGGGAGGGAAAGGAAAUAUGUUAGUAAAAUUGCCCACCUAGUAUCAAAAUGAAACUCUUAAGGAUACCUCUACCCUAUUUUUCUGGGCAAAUUGAAUGCAUUUUUCUGGACUGAGGGAGCGUGGAGCAUGCAAGAUUAGGUGCUUCUUUUUAUUUCGUAUUUUCCAGUGAUCCCCCAGCCCCGUUUAAAGACCCACAGUCAGUGUUGAUUGAGAGAGCCCUCAUAAGUGGCCACGGCAAUUCCAACAACAACAACAGUCGACCUCCUCUGGCAGGAAGAAGGCCCUUAACCACAAGAGCCGGGGCUGGAGGAGGAGGGGGGAGGAGGUGGGAGGUGAGCCAGGAGGAAGGCAGCUUGCGGUCAUACAUCUUGGGAAGGCUGCAUGUGUUGCCCAGACAGCCCCUUAAGUGACUUCACCUCAUCUCAAUGGUGCUCAUUACGUGCCAUAGAAAGCCAUCCAUUCAGGGCGGCAGUAUAAAACAAACCGAGCCCAUCUGGAGAGAGCACACGAGGAUGUCAACACAGGCUUAGGAAAUUGAUUGGGUUGUGUAGGAUGCUGUGAAUGAUAGGGGGUUAUUGUACAUCUCAUUAUUUAUUGGCAGCCUUACAUUUUUACACGCUCAACUCCAUAGUGUCACAAUUACGGCUGCAUAUUUUCAAUCUCAGUGUAUCAACAAGGUUCCCACACAGUCUCUUAAACUAUCCUCAGAGCCAGAAACGAUGCACCCACAGUCGGCUUUUUAGAAAGUUUUCCAACAGCUAUAAUUCAGAUUGGCAUCAUGGCAAAGUCCACACAGUUUUUGCUUUCUCUCUCCCUCUCUCUCUCUCUCAGUCAGUCAGGAAGUGGACUAAAAUCUUUACUUUGAAUGCUGAAGUUUAAAACCACUGAAACAAUUUUCUUUUAAUCAACAUACCAACAAUUUGACAUCACACAGGAAAGCAGCAGAUGAAAUUAGACCGACCAUUUUCAUUCAUCAGACGUCAGGCUGGGUAUGCUGUUAAAAUGUCAGUGCAUUUUGUUCCAGGUAGUUAAUCAUGUAAAUUUAAGUGGUUAGACCAGUAUUGUGGCUGAGUCACUCAAGUCCAGGUCCAAGUUGAGUCAUCAGAGAAGAAUCUGAGUCGAGUUCCCAUUGCCUGAGGUUUUAAAAUAGAAAAGCGUUGCUUUACGCCACACUUUUCACUCAAUGAACCAUGACUGACUUUUAUCAUCAUCGAAUUCUGAGUGAUCCUGUUGUUGUGUCAGAAAAUUGAAGUUGAAUGGAUGUGAAUGGAAAACUCACCAAUGGCCUGGUGGUCUAAGCACCCCAUGUAUAAAGGCAAUAGUCUUUGGAGCGGCACAUGACCUCAUAAACUUUACUAAUUGAUGCAAUUCACUUACAUAUCCUUAUUUAACUGUAAUAAUAUUACAAUCUGCCCCAUAACUGAAACUUCUUUGGAGAGGACAUUGCCUCUUUAUGGAUUGUCUGUCAUACUUUUAUUAAGAUUUUUUUUUUCUUGCUUUUAUGUCGCCUCAUAUCUGCAUUAUCAAACUAUGCUUUUAUUUUGAAGUUUGGUGGAUUUUAAAAUCCAGAACUGAAAGAAGACUGUUUAAAGAGCGGUUAGAUCAUAUCAAUGGCCGAUUGAUUUGUAACCCCAGGAGAUACAAGCUCUAACCUUGUUUUUGAAUUCACAAUAAAACCUGAACAUCGGUUUAUAAAAGAAGGUUGUUUCAGCUAGCCUGUUGCAGUCUACUACUUCUUCUUCAUCUAUCCUAGGUCUUAUCAUGCAUUGCAACCAGCAUAAAAGACUAUUUUUAUGAACUCAUGUUAUUACAGUAAGCUUAUUUAUCAUCAAUACUGGUAUAUAGUGACAACCCUAGCUGCUAACUCUACUGUUAGCAUACUAGCAGUAUCUGCUACAGUCUGAGUUUGUUGUGGUAUUCGCUUCAAUGUUUCAUUUGUAUAGUUUAACAUAUCAAACAUACUGAACUUCUCAUCCUUGUACGUUCUUAAAUCUCUGAAGGCAAAACUCACGACUGUCACCUUUGCUGGCAGCUUAGCAGGAACCUGACAGCAGCUCUCAAUAGAUUUAUCCAAGUGUCCAAAUGCUGUCAAUUUACAUGUCCAGAUGGACUCAUAGUUAUUAAAGAAUCAGGCCUCAGGUUGGGCUAAAGUACCAAAGCACUAGUUGAUGCAUAUCCUUUUUUCUCAGUUGAGUAACAUCAACAUGAACAAGAGUGAAUAUCUGAAGGAGCAUUUGAUCUUAGCUCCAGUUAAAUCCUUUGAAAGUCAGUUAUCUACAUUUGAGCAGCUAACUUAAGCUUUUAACCACAAAAUUAGCAAUGAGGCAGUUUUGUGAACAGUCUAGUUCUGUUGCAAAAUAAAAAAAAAGAGGAACAAUUUCCUGGUCAAUAUUUUUAGGACUAAACAUAGAAUAAGACAAUCAGCCAUUGAGUUCUCCACUCUGAGUGUGCAGUCAGAGUAAAGAGGCCUCUGUGAAUGUAGUCAGCUGAUGCAGAGAGAGAUUCUCUUUGCAACCAGAUGCCAAACACUUGUUAGCGUUUUCUUGAAAAUGAAAUAACAACAUUGGUUAUUCACCACCAGUACUUCCAAAAAAGUUGCUAAAGGUUGUUUUGAAAAUGCAUCCGUUAAAUUUUCUUAAUGCGUUUUAUCAGAUACCAAAAGCAGAUUAAAUCAGACCCACAAUGGCUGUCACAUUUUUGAGCUUAAAGGAUUAUUCAGUCUUGUCAACAUGUGGCCACGUCUUUGUUUAAUUAGAGCUCUGCUGACGUUAGAAAAGCCAAAAAAGAAAAAAAAGGGGGCUGGGUUGAACCAGUCUGCAGAGCAGGUGUCCUAGUUGCAGAGGUAAAGUCCUUCUUUCACUGGAUUUUAGUUUGACUGCUGCUCUUUAACCAUUUGGUGCAUGUCGUAUCAAAGCAAAGAUAAACACACCAACAGUACGACUCAUUUUUCAAAGCCUCUAAUUUGAAACACUUAAUUUUGUCACUGUGUUGCAUAUUUUGUAUUUCAAAUUGCAGGCACAGAUCUUACAAAGUCUUUAAAUAUUUGCUCAUAAAUCAAGUGUCUCCACAGUUGGCCUCUUGGAAAGUAUUUCAAUGGAUGUUACUCAAAGCAGGGCACCAUGGCAAAGUCCACGCAGCAUUGAGUAUUCAUUUUGAAGCCCGUGUUUACGUUGCUUGGCUUGGUAGCCUAGCGCCUCGGAGCAGCGGGCUCCUGCUGAGAUGAAGCUGCUGCUUUCACAAGAUGGAGUCAAACACAGAAGAGGAGGCGAGAACAUAGGGAGCGAAAACGGGCAGAAAACUCUUGAAGCUGCAUUAUCUUCCACUUUCAAAUUCAUUUAAAAUGCCAGGUUUGACAAAUUACACCUUUCCUCCGCCUAAUAUCUCCCUGUAACUGCCUUUUUUUUCUUCCACACAUUACUAUUUAAUGUACAUGUGCAGCUUUUUGAGUGCAGGAAGUGUCCAGCUAAUGAAGCAGAGCUGGAGUCACUCACGCCUGCCUGUGGAAUCAGCACGGACACUGAAUUGCACCAUGUGAACUGCAGCAGGGUGAACAGACUCAGCCAACCAAGAGCUACCGGCCUUAAUCGCUGUGAUUUAAAUUUCUGUUCCUUUCAUUAGGAAGCAUUGACAUUUUAAGCACACCUGUACGCUGCUGUCACUGAAUAACCUUUAAGAAGAAGAGAGAUGUGUCGCUCUUCUGAGGAGACAAAAGCCCAGAAGGAAAUUUACACUGACACACUCAGUCUUCUGUUGUGUACCUUAUAAUUCAAACCAACUGAAAAAGAAAAACUAAAAAACAAAAGAAAGUAUAAAAGAGAGUAUGUUCAGACUGUUUGUGCACCAUGCUCAACACUUUCAUCUUCAUGUUUCUGUUUAAAUUCAACAUUUAUUGUAAGGUGUUUUCAAGUUUUUGAUGUGCCUUCAGACAAGCUCUCAUUCAUGUGGUUUCUUAAAAAAAAAGCAUCUCAAGUUUUUAACCACAUUGUGUACCAUGAAUUGAGCUGUUAGGGACCCCAAAGGCGAAUAGAGGUGUAUAAAACAUGUGCUGCUCAUAAGAAGAGUCCUUAACUGGAUGAAACUAAAUUAAAAAUGCAUAUUAGUUUCUGCGCCAUUUAGUCAUGCGUAUGAGAUGUACUCACAGGUUUCACAUCCUUUCUGGUUACUUCCAGCCCACAGUUCUGCUCCUUCUGUUAAUGCAAUUCAGCACAUGUGUCCAUAUUUCCAUACCAUGCUUGAGUAUGUGGUUUUAAUUUGUGGGAACAUAUGUUUUCAUUAUGGCAAUUGGUGUAUGAAAUAAUGUUGCUUUUUUUUUUUUUUUUCCCAGAAAUGCACCUGCAGUUGGGCAUAAGGAGAUCGGGCCUCUUUGGAGUUAAUGUUGCCUUCAAAAGGACAUCAAAGUGAUGAUUUCCAGACUUCCACGAGCUGAACUUUACUGAAAUCUACACUGAUGUGUGUUUUUUUUACAAGUUACACAACUGCUACAACUGUGUGGCCUCCAGACCAUCAACUCUAAACAGUGAUUCAUAAUUCCUGUUAACGCUGGCACACAGUUGGAUUUAGUGUAUUAAGCAUUCUGACCAAAGCAAGUUUGAUGAAAGUAUUGUUUUCUGCUUUUUCUAGCAGCUGCCUUUCAUCAUAGUAUGUAAGGGAUAAUGGGCAGUGACAAGGUUGUUUUAGUUGCUUGAAUCCCGAAAAGGUCUGAAAGGGUUCCUCUAUCAGAUCAGCCAGUUCACUUUACAUCCUGUUAAUAACACUGCUACAUAAAAUCAAAACAUUAAUACCAAAUGUUGAUGUGGAAAUAAUUUAGUCAAUUUCAAAAUGGUUCCAAGUUGUCUGUUACACUCACAUUUUGGGCUCCAUCCAUUUUAAGUGUUAAUUCAACAGCCCUCAGAAAAUGAGCUAACAUUUAUGUUAUUACCAACCUGAAACUGAAUAUUUGCACUGAUGGUGAAGAGAAACAAGGUGAGCAGGAUCACAUGAGUCAGUGCCACACCUGAUGGAGUUUUCCUGGCUCAUCACAGUCAUAGUCAGCAUUUCUUUUCCAUUUAUCAUACCUUCAAACGCCUCCCAUAGC
This 20116-nucleotide long non-coding RNA is filed under the name Xyrichtys novacula (pearly razorfish). The record is from RNAcentral. Lineage: Eukaryota; Metazoa; Chordata; Actinopteri; Labriformes; Labridae.